Molecule: long non-coding RNA, 1725 nt
Filed under: Pan troglodytes (chimpanzee)
Lineage: Eukaryota; Metazoa; Chordata; Mammalia; Primates; Hominidae
Description: long non-coding RNA NONPTRT013738
Source: RNAcentral
AAAUUAUGCAGGAAUCAGAGUAGGUUUCUAUCUGUGCCUGACAGUUCUCAAGUCAUUUACAUUUGUGUGGGAACUUGCUUUUAGGUGGUCGUUUCUUACCAGAGGAUGCAUUAAAGGCCAGCUCCUCCCCACAAUCCCCCUCUCCAAAGUUUUUGUCUGCUCUCAUCAUUUUCUGGGUCAUGUUGUCAUUGUUCCUGAAGGGGCCUUGUCUCUGCUAAUGGGUUAUAACUGCUUGAGAGUUGGAAUCCCAUCACAUUUAUGAGCCGACACACAACACCAAGCAAGAAGAUUGAGGGAGGAAAGGAAGAUCAUAGGCAGUGUUUGGGAAGCAUCACAUAAUACUCCCUAGGGAUGGAAGACAAAUACAGGUGUCAUGGAGUAGCAAAGGCGGAGUUCAUCAGCUCAUCAGCACAGGCCAUUCUUCCUGAGCAUGCAUCCUAGUGAUGGAGGUUGAGUCCUACUCCCUAUUAGGUGAUAGACUAUUGAUAAAAACAAGGAGGGUGAUGACGAUAAUCAGCAGUUAAUACAUGCUUGUACUGUAUGCCAGGCACCGUGCAAGUGCAUGAAAAGCCUCAUCUCAUUUAGUCCCUCCAACAUUCUUAUCAGGUCAAUUCUAUUAUUACCCCCCCUCUUACAGUCGGGAAAAUUGAGUUCUAGAGAGUUUGCCAUUGGCCCAAGUGACUCAAUGGCAAAGCCAUGCCUCAACCCCAUGUCUGCAGAGUCUUAAGCACAGCUCGAGUUCUGUUCUCUGCCACUUUUGGGAUGUCCUGUGAAGCCCCUGCUACAGGGAUUGGGCAUGGCUGGGUGCUCUGUCUACUCAGGGCUUCUAGAUUCCCGAGGAGAGAGAGAGAGAGAGUGUGUGUGUGUGUGUGUGUGUGUGUGUGUACAUGUGAGAGAAGAAGAAAGAGAGGGAGAGAGAGGGCAAUUUAAAAAGCGUAUGUAGGUGUUUGCCUGGCCCAACAGCUUACCUAUAGUAUUUAGUGCAUGUGUAUCAGGGUCUGGGAGGAAAAGCACCACCAGGCAUGACGCGGGUCAGGGCAGGGCAUGACUGGGACUUCCCUGUGUGGUCUCUGCCUGCACAGGUCCUUUGGGCUCUGGUGGGGGACCAGGCCUGGGUAGGCAGCACCACUAGCUAUUCUCUGCCCCUCCUUGGUGGCCCUGCAGAGGGUGUGGGUCAGUCCCCUGCAAUAACCUGGCCCCUGUGCAAAGGUGUUUUUCAGAGGCAUCACUGUGAACGCGGUGCGGGGCUUCCCAAUGAGUGCGGCCAUGUUCCUUGGGUACGAGCUGUCGCUGCAGGCUAUCCGCGGGGACCACACAGUGACGAGCCCAUGAGCGCCAGGGUCUCAUCCCAUUAACAGGUCAAUGCUAAAAGUGUCUGCAGAACCCAUGAUGUGAAUUUACUGAAGAGAAAGACUCUCCACCAGGUGGGCUUUCAGCCAGGCAGGCUGUCCUCAGAACCUCUUCCUUCCUUCACAAUUACAAGCAUUCUCAUCCCCACCCCGGCUGGGGCAGCGGAGCUUCUGCCUUGGAGGGAUUCAACUGACCAUUGGUCAACUGAUCACCAACUAUUCCAGCUUUGGACCUGCACCUGGUAACAAACAAACGAACAGAACAAAACAAAACUGGAGUAAAAUAGACCCUCCCCCCAUGGCCAUUGUAAACUCACUGUGAAUUCAUGGAAGAGCUGGAGUUGGCUCUAAGUUUCAAAAUAAAAGCAUUAAAAAC